CUCCCUCCCGGGCAUGGUCCUGAACGGCCUGAACUCUACAAGUAGUCCGAGUUCUCAGGGUGAACCAAGGGGGGACAGAUGUUGGGCACACACCAGGUGGGCCGGAAGAGAACGAUCCGGAAAAGGGGAGUGACCUGAUUUCUCAUUGGCUCCCUGACAGAAAGGAGAGACCAGAGUGGACAGCCCCUCCUUGUGGUCGGUCCAGGAGGAGGACGGCAUGCGGCUGAAGGGGUCGAGCAGCACGCGGAAGCAGCGCACCAGCAGCACGGCCAGCAGCACCAGCAGGAGCCCCACGAACACCAGG
Conger conger (European conger) is the source of this 304-nucleotide long non-coding RNA. RefSeq lists it as uncharacterized. The record is from RefSeq and is a predicted model, not a curated record. NCBI's taxonomy places the organism in Eukaryota, Metazoa, Chordata, Actinopteri, Anguilliformes, Congridae. The transcript is spliced from 3 exons.